GAUGAACGCUGGCGGCGUGCCUAACACAUGCAAGUCGAGCGAUUCUCUUCGGAGAAGAGCGGCGGACGGGUGAGUAACGCGUGGGUAACCUGCCCUGUACACACGGAUAACAUACCGAAAGGUAUGCUAAUACGAGAUAAUAUGCUUUUAUCGCAUGGUAGAAGUAUCAAAGCUCCGGCGGUACAGGAUGGACCCGCGUCUGAUUAGCUAGUUGGUAAGGUAACGGCUUACCAAGGCGACGAUCAGUAGCCGACCUGAGAGGGUGAUCGGCCACAUUGGAACUGAGACACGGGUCCAAACUCCUACGGGAGGCAGCAGUGAGGAAUAUUGGUCAAUGGGCGCAGGGCCUGAACCAGCCAAGUAGCGUGAAGGAUGACUGCCCUAUGGGUU
RNAcentral lists this ribosomal RNA (390 nucleotides) under uncultured bacterium. Its description in RNAcentral is "bacterial SSU rRNA". It matches the Rfam family "Bacterial small subunit ribosomal RNA", at positions 28 to 424 of the family's 1533-position model. The record is from RNAcentral.